Molecule: ribosomal RNA, 253 nt
Filed under: uncultured bacterium
Lineage: Bacteria
Description: partial 16S ribosomal RNA
Rfam family: Bacterial small subunit ribosomal RNA
Source: RNAcentral
UACGUAGGGGGCAAGCGUUGUCCGGAUUUAUUGGGCGUAAAGCGCUCGCAGGUGGUUCGUCGCGUCGUGCGUGAAAGACCCCGGCUCAACUGGGGGAGGUCGUGCGAUACGGGCGAACUGGAGGCCAGUAGGGGGAUGCGGAAUUCCGGGUGUAGUGGUGGAAUGCGUAGAGAUCCGGAGGAACACCAGCGGCGAAGGCGGCAUCCUGGACUGGUCCUGACACUCAUGAGCGAAAGCGUGGGGAGCGAGCCGG